This 508-nucleotide ribosomal RNA is filed under the name uncultured soil bacterium. RNAcentral's name for it is "bacterial SSU rRNA". It matches the Rfam family "Bacterial small subunit ribosomal RNA", at positions 26 to 517 of the family's 1533-position model. The record is from RNAcentral.
AGAAUCAACGCUGGCGGCGUGCCUAACACAUGCAAGUCGAACGCGAAAGGGGCUUCGGCCCUGAGUAGAGUGGCAAACGGGUGAGUAACACGUGGGUGACCUGCCUCAGAGUGGGGGAUAACGUCCCGAAAGGGACGCUAAUACCGCAUAACAUCCUGCCUUUGGAAAGGCGGAGAUCAAAGCCGGGGAUCGCAAGACCUGGCGCUUGGAGAGGGGCCCGCGUCUGAUUAGCUAGUUGGUGGGGUAAUGGCCUACCAAGGCAACGAUCAGUAGCCGGCCUGAGAAGGCGGACGGCCACACUGGGACUGAGACACGGCCCAGACUCCUACGGGAGGCAGCAGUGGGGAAUUGUCGCAAUGGGCGCAAGCCUGACGACGCAACGCCGCGUGGAGGAUGAAGAUUUUCGGAUCGUAAACUCCUGUCGAGCGGAAGAAAACCUGUCGGUUAAUACCCAGGCAGGCUGACGGUACCGCUAAAGGAAGCCCGGCUAACUCCGCGCCAGCAGCCG